This 71-nucleotide transfer RNA is filed under the name Chitinophaga sp. CF118. RNAcentral's name for it is "tRNA_His_GTG". It matches the Rfam family "tRNA". Rfam says of the family: Transfer RNA (tRNA) molecules are approximately 80 nucleotides in length. Their secondary structure includes four short double-helical elements and three loops (D, anti-codon, and T loops). The record is from RNAcentral. Lineage: Bacteria; Pseudomonadati; Bacteroidota; Chitinophagia; Chitinophagales; Chitinophagaceae.
GUGAUAGUAGUUUAAUGGCAAAACACCUGAAUGUGGAUCAGGAGAUCAGGGUUCGAUUCCCGCUUAUCACC